This 298-nucleotide long non-coding RNA is filed under the name Scleropages formosus (Asian bonytongue). RNAcentral describes it as "lncRNA (ENSSFOG00015031588.1)". Lineage: Eukaryota; Metazoa; Chordata; Actinopteri; Osteoglossiformes; Osteoglossidae. The record is from RNAcentral.
UUAGGAUUAACUGUAACCCUACAUAUGUUUUGCAAGGCAAAUUGGCCUUGAAGUUGUGCACUGUAUUGUCUGGCGCUUCUGUGGCUAUUUUAUGUGUUUCUGCUCCUGAUACAGUAUACUUCCUGUGUUUCUGUAGCUCAGCAGCGAGUCCUCCAGAGAGGAAACCAUGUGCUGGAGACAUCCACCGGCCCCAUUUUGUUCUCUGUGUGUUUGGGUCCAGACCUGGUUUCUGCAGCCAGUCCCACGGGCGCAGCACAACAAACAGUCACAGCAGAUCCAGGUGGGCCUUUAUGCCUCA